UACGUAGGGGGGCAAGCGUUGUCCGGAUUUAUUGGGCGUAAAGAGCGUGUAGGCGGCCAAGCAGGUCCGCUGUGAAAACUCGAGGCUCAACCUCGAGACGUCGGUGGAAACCGUUUGGCUAGAGUCCGGAAGAGGAGAGUGGAAUUCCCGGUGUAGCGGUGAAAUGCGCAGAUAUCGGGAAGAACACCCGUGGCGAAGGCGGCUCUCUGGGACGGUACUGACGCGUGAGACGCG
This 234-nucleotide ribosomal RNA is filed under the name uncultured bacterium. RNAcentral's name for it is "partial 16S ribosomal RNA". It matches the Rfam family "Bacterial small subunit ribosomal RNA", at positions 524 to 755 of the family's 1533-position model. The record is from RNAcentral.